Molecule: ribosomal RNA, 433 nt
Filed under: uncultured bacterium
Lineage: Bacteria
Description: partial 16S ribosomal RNA
Rfam family: Bacterial small subunit ribosomal RNA
Source: RNAcentral
AACGAACGCUGGCGGCAGGCCUAACACAUGCAAGUCGAGCGAGACCUUCGGGUCUAGCGGCGGACGGGUGAGUAACGCGUGGGAACGUGCCCUUUUCUGCGGAAUAGCCUCGGGAAACUGAGCGUAAUACCGCAUACGCCCUUUGGGGGAAAGAUUUAUCGGAAAAGGAUCGGCCCGCGUUGGAUUAGGUAGUUGGUGGGGUAAUGGCCUACCAAGCCUACGAUCCAUAGCUGGUUUGAGAGGAUGAUCAGCCACACUGGGACUGAGACACGGCCCAGACUCCUACGGGAGGCAGCAGUGGGGAAUCUUAGACAAUGGGGGCAACCCUGAUCUAGCCAUGCCGCGUGAGUGAUGAAGGCCUUAGGGUUGUAAAGCUCUUUCAGCUGGGAAGAUAAUGACGGUACCAGCAGAAGAAUCCCCGGCUAACUCCGUG